UGCCCCAUGGCUAAGUUGGUCAAAGCGUCCGACUGUUAAUCGGAAGGUCGUGAGUUCAAUCCUCACUGGGGCAG
This 74-nucleotide transfer RNA is filed under the name Phlebiopsis gigantea 11061_1 CR5-6. Its description in RNAcentral is "tRNA-Asn (GTT) (tRNA-Asn-GTT-2-1)". It matches the Rfam family "tRNA". From Rfam's summary of the family: Transfer RNA (tRNA) molecules are approximately 80 nucleotides in length. Lineage: Eukaryota; Fungi; Basidiomycota; Agaricomycetes; Polyporales; Phanerochaetaceae. The record is from RNAcentral.